AGAGAAUGUCCGUUUCUCGGAGCGCAGCACAGCCUGUCCCAUCGAGAAGCCUCGGGUGGACAUGGACUCCAUGGAAGCCUGAGCUGCCAGGGGCUUCCCUGGGGCAGCACUGCUUCGCGUAGGCUCACGAGAAACUUCCAGGGUUCCUGGCGCCAGCCUUUCAACAGAGCAGCACAUUAUGCCUGGAUAAGACUCAAAGAGCAGCUUAAUAUCAGGUUCUCUGGGGCUGUAAUCAUCGGUUCAGGAUGGAGCAGACACAGCCGCAGCAAGGCCUCUGUGCAGCCCCCGGUUUAAAACACAUCAACGCAUCCGUGGGCACUUUUCGUAAGAAAAAUCACAUCCUGUUCCCCAGUAGCUGAGGAAAGCCGGCUCACGAGAGUAUACAGGGAGAAGAGGCCAGCAUUGUGUGGCUGCCAGCAAAGCUCACUUGUAUGUCAAAUGCAGCGCUUUUCUUAGCCCAUUAUGUAUUUUUUUUUUCUUGAACACUCCUGUGUCUACUGGGAUCUCCUGUUUUUAUUGUUUUGGGAUGAGAUUUUAAAAACACCAUUUAAUGUAGCCUGUGUGCUCUUGUUCAUUAAACCAAAAAGAAACCCUGGAUCACGGCACAGGAGACUCUCCUCCCCGUUCUCUAGGGAUGCGCCCUCAUGGGGAAACCCUCUUUUCUCAUUAUUUUUGAUGGUGUGCUCUAACAAGACGAUCUGGAGGAAACUCCAUGUUCACAGGACACAUUCCUGCAACGUGGCUUGAAGGGCCCACACCAGGGUUUGGCUCAUCCAUGUCGCAAACUAGAGGGGAGGAGGGUGCUGGCUAUUUCCCAUCUGCAGUCUCAGUUUCCCCACCAGAGGACUGGAGGGAGUACUUGGGUGGGCUGUGAUGCAAUCCCGGCACGAACCCCCCAGCACUGGCAUUGGAGUCGGAGGUUUGGGCAUAGUCGCCAACAUCGCACUUACUUCCAUGCCAGCACCAAGUCUGCGGCUCCCCAGGCCACUCUCACUUCUGACCACAAGUUCAAGGCUCCCACAGCCUCUCUGGGGUCCGUAGUUCACUAGAACGACUCGCAGAACUCAGAAAAGCUCUGUCCUCACAACUGCAGCCCUACCACCGAGGCCACGCUGAGGACCCAGCAGCGGAGACGCAUCCAGGGCCGGUCGAGAUCAGGAGGGUCCCAACCUGGGGUUCCCGGGCCCUCUCCCUGUGGAAGGGGGCAGGGGGCACUUCCCCUCCCGCACGUCUGCGAGUUCUCACCGGGGCCUCCUUCUGUAGGGAUCACUGCCCAGGUGAUGAGCUCCUUCUCAAGCCUCCUCCCUUUUGGGAGGUCAAAGUUCAGCUAUACCAUGCGGCCCCACCCUGUAAUUGCAUAGUUGGCCUUUCUGGUGUGGCCAGCCCCAUGCAGACCCUAAGAUGC
Molecule: long non-coding RNA, 1405 nt
Filed under: Homo sapiens (human)
Lineage: Eukaryota; Metazoa; Chordata; Mammalia; Primates; Hominidae
Description: non-protein coding LINC00354:14
Source: RNAcentral